CCGCAUAGAAUCGCUAUCUGGGGCAAUGGGCAGCAGAGCAUCUGAGCAGUACUGGACCAGUGGAGGACAAACAAGUCCCUAAGCACCUGGAGGUGAGCAGCACUGAGCUAUUUAAACCCCAAAACGAAUCUUAGAAGCACAGACUGGUUUGGUUGGAAAAAAAACAAAACAAACCAACAGAAGUACCUGAAGGAGACUGCAAAUGCUGUGGCUGCCCCAUCCCUGGCAGUGCUCAAGGCCGGGUUGGACACAGGGGCUUGGAGCAAGCUGCUCUUUGGAAGGGGUCCCUGCGCGUGGCAGGGGUUGGAGCUGGAGGAGCUUUAAGGUCCCUUCCAACCCAAACCAGGCUGGGAUAUGAUUCUAUGAUAUAAAUUAAUUAUAAUAGCUAUAAUUGUAAACAAUCAUAAGCAUCAAUAAAUAAAUUUCACUCAAAA
Long non-coding RNA from Pezoporus occidentalis (night parrot), 434 nucleotides. RefSeq lists it as uncharacterized. The record is from RefSeq and is a predicted model, not a curated record. The transcript is spliced from 2 exons. NCBI's taxonomy places the organism in Eukaryota, Metazoa, Chordata, Aves, Psittaciformes, Psittacidae.